This 73-nucleotide transfer RNA is filed under the name Pseudomonadota bacterium. RNAcentral's name for it is "tRNA-Ala". It matches the Rfam family "tRNA". From Rfam's summary of the family: Transfer RNA (tRNA) molecules are approximately 80 nucleotides in length. Lineage: Bacteria; Pseudomonadati; Pseudomonadota. RNAcentral also lists the same sequence under 3 other names. The record is from RNAcentral.
GGGCACGUAGCUCAGUUGGGAGAGCGCCGCGUUCGCAAUGCGGAGGUCGUGGGUUCAACUCCCAUCGUGUCCA